UACGUAGGGUGCAAGCGUUGUCCGGAAUUAUUGGGCGUAAAGAGCUCGUAGGCGGUUUGUCGCGUCUGCUGUGAAAACCCGAGGCUCAACCUCGGGCCUGCAGUGGGUACGGGCAGACUAGAAUGCGGUAGGGGAGAUUGGAAUUCCUGGUGUAGCGGUGGAAUGCGCAGAUAUCAGGAGGAACACCAAUGGCGAAGGCAGAUCUCUGGGCCGUAACUGACGCUGAGGAGCGAAAGCAUGGGGAGCGAACAGG
RNAcentral lists this ribosomal RNA (253 nucleotides) under uncultured bacterium. RNAcentral describes it as "partial 16S ribosomal RNA". It matches the Rfam family "Bacterial small subunit ribosomal RNA", at positions 524 to 776 of the family's 1533-position model. The record is from RNAcentral.